GCCAGGUGUGGUGGCACAUGCCUGUAAUUCCAGCAACUUGGGAGGCUGAGGCAGGAGGAUCUCAAGUUCAAGACCAACCUCAGGAACUUGAGGUGAAACCCUGUCUCAA
Molecule: small RNA, 109 nt
Filed under: Marmota monax (woodchuck)
Lineage: Eukaryota; Metazoa; Chordata; Mammalia; Rodentia; Sciuridae
Source: RNAcentral